Molecule: ribosomal RNA, 229 nt
Filed under: uncultured bacterium
Lineage: Bacteria
Description: partial 16S ribosomal RNA
Rfam family: Bacterial small subunit ribosomal RNA
Source: RNAcentral
UGCGUAGGCGGUUUGGAAAGUCAGGUGUGAAAUCCUACAGCUUAACUGUAGAACUGCACUUGAAACUUCCAGACUAGAAUACUGAAGGGGCAGAUGGAAUUAGUGGUGUAGGGGUAAAAUCCGUAGAUAUCACUAGGAAUACCGAAAGCGAAAGCGAUCUGCUGGGAAGUUAUUGACGCUGAGGCACGAAAGCGUGGGGAGCAAACAGGAUUAGAUACCCUGGUAGUCC